Patiria miniata (bat star) is the source of this 4780-nucleotide RNA transcript. It is a transcript of the gene named cytochrome c oxidase subunit 1-like, with no coding region annotated. NCBI's taxonomy places the organism in Eukaryota, Metazoa, Echinodermata, Asteroidea, Valvatida, Asterinidae. The record is from RefSeq and is a predicted model, not a curated record. The transcript has a single exon.
ACAAAUUUAUAAACCAUGCAACUAAGACGAUGAUUCUUUUCCACCAAACACAAGGACAUUGGAACCCUUUAUCUUAUCUUUGGAGCCUGAGCUGGGAUGGCCGGAACAGCAAUGAGUGUAAUAAUACGGACAGAACUAGCACAACCUGGAUCCUUACUACAAGACGACCAAAUAUACAAAGUAAUAGUUACUGCACACGCCCUAGUCAUGAUAUUCUUCAUGGUAAUGCCAAUUAUGAUUGGAGGAUUCGGAAACUGACUAAUACCGUUAAUGAUCGGAGCCCCUGACAUGGCCUUUCCCCGAAUGAACAAUAUGAGAUUCUGACUAAUUCCCCCAUCCUUUCUACUUUUAUUAGCUUCCGCAGGCGUGGAAAGAGGAGCCGGAACAGGAUGAACAAUCUACCCCCCAUUAUCUAGAGGAUUAGCCCACGCUGGAGGAUCAGUAGACUUAGCAAUAUUUUCCCUUCACCUAGCGGGAGCUUCCUCAAUACUUGCCUCAAUAAAAUUCAUAACAACUGUUAUAAAAAUGCGAACACCAGGAAUUUCAUUUGACCGACUUCCUUUGUUUGUAUGGUCAGUAUUCGUAACAGCUUUCCUGCUCCUUCUAUCCUUACCAGUACUUGCAGGUGCAAUAACAAUGCUUCUUACAGACCGAAAAGUUAAUACCACCUUUUUCGACCCCGCAGGAGGGGGAGACCCUAUCUUAUUUCAACACUUAUUCUGAUUCUUUGGCCACCCAGAAGUUUACAUUCUUAUUCUUCCUGGAUUUGGAAUGAUCUCUCACGUAAUCGCCCACUACGCAGGAAAGAGAGAGCCAUUUGGUUAUCUCGGAAUGGUCUACGCCAUAGUUUCUAUUGGAAUUCUAGGGUUUUUAGUUUGAGCCCACCACAUGUUUACAGUCGGGAUGGACGUUGACACCCGAGCAUACUUUACAGCAGCAACCAUGAUUAUAGCAGUACCAACUGGUAUAAAGGUAUUUAGCUGAAUGGCAACACUACAAGGAAGGAAUCUCCGAUGAGACACACCUCUACUAUGAGCACUUGGAUUCGUAUUCUUAUUUACCAUUGGUGGACUAACCGGAGUUAUCCUUGCAAAAUCAUCCAUUGACGUUAUUCUCCACGAUACUUACUAUGUAGUCGCCCACUUUCACUACGUAUUGUCAAUGGGAGCAGUUUUUGCCAUAUUUGCAGGAUUUACCCACUGAUUUCCCCUAUUCUCCGGAGUAGGCCUACACCCCCUAUGAGGAAAGAUUCACUUCACUCUGAUGUUUAUCGGUGUAAACCUUACCUUCUUCCCACAACAUUUCCUAGGACUAGCUGGAAUGCCACGACGAUACUCCGACUACCCCGAUGCCUACACACUCUGAAACACCGUAUCUUCUAUUGGUAGAACCAUAUCCCUUAUUGCAACGUUGGUAUUCUUAUUCAUCUUGUGAGAAGCAUUUACUUCCCAACGAACUGCCCUACAACCUGAAUUCUCUUCCUCUUCCCUUGAAUGACAAUACUCAUCUUUUCCCCCAUCUCACCACACAUUUGACGAAAUCCCUUCAACAGUCUACCUAAUUAAGUAAACGAGGAUUAGUUUAACAAAAACCCUUAAUUUCGACUUAAAAAAUUUCGGUAAACACCCCGAAAUCCUCCUAUUACAUCAACUUUCAUUAUUACCAUAACAAUAUUCUACUUAGGCCUUCUCGGAAUUCUAAUAAAACGACUACACUUCCUAUCAAUUCUAUUAUGCUUAGAACUCCUAUUAAUAUCCCUAUUCAUGAGACUAACCAUAUGAGCCAUAAAAGCCGGAACAACAUUUAUACUCACGAAUAAACUUAUUCUCCUAACCCUAUCAGCCUGUGAAGCCAGCGCAGGACUUUCUCUCAUGGUAGCCCUCUCCCGGACACACAACUCCGACCUUGUAUCAACCAUUAAAAUACUCCAACAGUAAAUGGCAAACUGAACCCAACUAGGACUGCAAGAUGCAUCUUCCCCACUAAUGGAAGAACUUAUAUACUUUCAUGAUUAUACUUUAAUUAUCCUCACCCUAAUAACAAUAUUAGUAUUUUACGGACUAGCUUCGCUACUAUUUUCCUCCAAAACCAACCGAUUCUUUUUAGAAGGUCAAGGACUAGAAACUAUCUGAACCAUUAUACCUGCCGUAAUACUAAUAUUUAUUGCCCUCCCCUCCCUACAGCUACUGUACUUAAUGGACGAAGUAAAAAACCCAUUCCUAACAAUAAAGGCCAUAGGACACCAAUGGUACUGAAGAUAUGAAUAUGCAGACUAUCGAGAGUUAGAAUUCGACUCCUACAUGAUCCCAACCUCUGAUCUCACCUCUGGUAAACCUCGACUCCUAGAAGUAGACAAUCGACUCACCCUGCCUGCCCAAACACCCAUCCGAGUAUUAGUCUCUUCCGCAGACGUCCUACACUCCUGGGCGAUCCCUUCUCUUGGCAUAAAGAUGGAUGCCGUCCCCGGACGCUUGAAUCAGGUAAAAUUCUUUAUCUCCCGAUGUGGGCUGUUCUAUGGCCAAUGUUCAGAAAUCUGCGGGGCCAAACACAGCUUCAUGCCCAUAGUAAUUGAAUCAGUAAAAUUCUCCACAUUCGAAACCUGAGUAUCUAAAUUUAUAACCGAAUCUUUGAUAAGCUAAUAAGGUAGCAUCAAACUCUUAAUUUGAAUAAAAGUGAAUUACCCACCCACUAUCAAAGAAAUGCCACAACUAAAACUUGCAUGAUGACUACUUAAAUUUUUCCUGGGCUGAACCUCCUUGCUAAUUAUAUUUAUAAUACUCUUGAAAACAAAACCUACUAACAAAAUUACAAAUACCAGAACCACUACUAACACUACCCCAAACCUAACAUGAACCUGAAACUAAAAAGAAUCUUUGGCCAGUUCUCCCCAGACCUUAUCUUAUUUAUCCCUAUGACCAUAACAGCCAUCUUCCUUAACCUUAGAUGGCUAUCCAUUUCCAAACCAUCUAAAUGACUCCCUUCCCGAGCAAACCUCCUCAUACUAUCCUUUUACCAAGAGGUACUUAAGAUCCUGUUUCAACAAACAAACCCUAACACAGCCCCUUGAAUAUCAACUUUUACCGCCAUAUUCAUACUCAUAUUUUCAGUAAAAGUCCUUGGUCUCCUUCCAUAUGCAUUUACCUCCACAAGCCACAUAUCACUAACAUACUCUGUUGGAAUUCCCCUUUGAAUGUCCGUAAAAAUACUUGGAUUUUACUUAGCAUUCAACAGCCGACUAGGCCACUUAGUUCCCCAAGGAACCCCCUCUUAUCUUAUACCAUUCAUGGUAAUUAUAGAAACAAUUAGCCUUUUUGCACAACCCAUAGCAUUAGGACUACGACUUGCAGCAAACCUAACCGCUGGACACUUACUCAUAUUCCUAUUAUCCACCGCAAUCUGAACUCUAUCCAACAGCCCUUCCAUAGCCGGAAUUACCUUACUAAUAUUUUUCUUUCUCUUCCUCUUAGAAAUAGGUGUAGCCUGUAUUCAAGCCUACGUAUUCACCGCCCUAGUCAACUUUUACCUAUCCCAAAACCUAUAAAACUUAUGACCCAUCAACACCCAUACCACCUGGUUGACCAAAGCCCCUGGCCUCUAACUGGGGCAAUAAGAGCUCUAAUGAUGACCUCUGGCCUUAUACUAUGAUUUCAUGCUAACAAAAAUCACCUCCUUCUAGCCGGAACGAUCCUCCUUCUUCUAACCAUUAUAAAUUGAUGACGAGACGUAAUCCGAGAAGCAACUUUUCAAGGAAGACACACCCUGCCCGUAAACACAGGACUACGGUACGGCAUGAUACUUUUUAUAACCUCCGAAGUGUGCUUCUUUUUUGCCUUCUUCUGAGCAUUUUUUCACAGAAGCCUAGCACCCACGAUUGAACUCGGAGUAUCCUGACCCCCAACUGGAAUUAGCCCCAUAAAUCCAUUUCUGGUCCCCCUACUAAACACAGCCGUCCUACUCUCCUCAGGGGUUACAGUCACCUGAGCCCACCACAGAAUACUAGCCCAAAAUCGAACCGAAGCAAUACAAGGAUUAUUUCUUACAGUAAUCCUUGGGGUCUACUUCACCGGCCUUCAAGCUUGAGAAUAUUAUGACUCCCCAUUUACUAUCGCAGACAGAGUCUACGGGUCCACAUUUUUUGUAGCCACAGGCUUCCACGGCCUGCACGUACUCAUAGGUACAACUUUCCUAUUUAUUUGCUUCCUCCGACUAAUAACAUUUCACUUCUCGAAUAAUCACCAUUUUGGAUUUGAAGCAGCCGCCUGGUAUUGACACUUCGUAGACGUAGUCUGAUUAUUCCUUUACAUUUGCAUUUACUGAUGAGGAUCAUAAGAGAAAAAAGGAUUUGAACCUUCCUCUUUUUAGUUUCAAGCUAAAUGCAUCCCUAUCUGCCAUUUCUCCACACCAAACUAUAUAUACCAAUAAAAUUUUCAAAUUCCUCACCCUCUUUGCGUCAAUCUCACUUAUAACCGCAUUAAUCACAUUCGCUGCACACUUCCUCCCAUCUCGAAAAACGGACUCAGAAAAGUCAUCUCCCUAUGAAUGCGGUUUCGACCCCCUAAAAUCCGCUCGAGUCCCCUUCUCAUUCCGAUUCUUCCUGGUGGCCAUUUUAUUUCUACUUUUUGAUCUAGAAAUAGCCCUACUAUUCCCCCUGCCUUUCAGAAUUUUCCUGCAUCCUGUACACACCCCUAUUUUACUCACCUGCCUAUUCCUCUUUAUACUAACCAUUGGAUUAAUUUUCGAAUGAGUACAAGGAGGCCUAGACUGAGCCGAAUAAUACCAA